CUACCCUUCGUGUCCGGCAUAAUCCUGGGAAACUGGGGAUAAUUCCGGAUAAGCCACAUAAGCUGGAAUGCUCUGUGGUCCAAAGCUCCGUGUGCCUGAAGGAUGGGUCUGCGGCCUAUCAGGGUUGUAGUGCGUGUAAUGUACCUAAUAAGCUACGACGGGUACGGGUUGUGAAGAGCAAGAGCCCGGAGAUGGAUUCUGAGACACGAAUCCAGGCCCUACGGGGUGCACGGGGCGCGUAAAGCUUUAUAAUUGCGGGAAACCGUGAUAAGGGAAUCUCGAUUGCCAGCAUAUAAUGUGGGCUUUCCAGAUGCUUAAAAAGCAUCUGUUAGCAAGGGCCGGGCAAGACCGGUGCCAGCCGCCGCGGUAACACCGGCGGCCCGAGUGUAACCGCUAUUAUUGGGUCUAAAGGUUCUGUAGCCGGCCAGGUAAGUCCCUUGGGAAAUCUGGCAGCUCAACUGUCAGGCUGCUAGGGGAUACUGUUUGGCUUGGGACCGGGAGAGGUGAGAGGUA
Molecule: ribosomal RNA, 513 nt
Filed under: uncultured archaeon
Lineage: Archaea
Description: bacterial SSU rRNA
Rfam family: Archaeal small subunit ribosomal RNA
Source: RNAcentral